UACGUAGGGUGCAAGCGUUAAUCGGAAUUACUGGGCGUAAAGCGUGCGCAGGCGGUGAUGUAAGACAGGCGUGAAAUCCCCGGGCUUAACCUGGGAACUGCGCUUGUGACUGCAUCGCUGGAGUGCGGCAGAGGGGGAUGGAAUUCCGCGUGUAGCAGUGAAAUGCGUAGAUAUGCGGAGGAACACCGAUGGCGAAGGCAAUCCCCUGGGCCUGCACUGACGCUCAUGCACGAAAGCGUGGGGAGCAAACAGGAUUAGAUACCCUGGUAGUCCACGCCCUAAACGAUGUCAACUGGUUGUUGGGUCUUCACUGACUCAGUAACGAAGCUAACGCGUGAAGUUGACCGCCUGGGGAGUACGGCCGCAAGGUUG
Molecule: ribosomal RNA, 372 nt
Filed under: uncultured prokaryote
Description: bacterial SSU rRNA
Rfam family: Bacterial small subunit ribosomal RNA
Source: RNAcentral